This is an RNA transcript of Gadus chalcogrammus (walleye pollock), 2662 nucleotides long. RefSeq lists it as uncharacterized. The transcript has 6 exons. NCBI's taxonomy places the organism in Eukaryota, Metazoa, Chordata, Actinopteri, Gadiformes, Gadidae. The record is from RefSeq and is a predicted model, not a curated record.
GCCAGGAGUUUCUGCGUCUCAUGUUCAGUUUGUUUGGUUCUUUGAUUAUUGUUCUUGUCACAGCUGUUGGAACAAUCUGGUUUCCCUGAGGGCCGACGACGUUCUCGUUCUGGUCUUUCAUUGCUUCAGCCAUGGCAACAAACCAUUGUGCUAACAGACCACCGCAGUCGUCACAACCUGGACUAAACCAAGGAACCCAAAACCCUCACCCCAACGCUGCUACCGGUGCCCCAAACCCCCAACCACAGGGGCCCCCACAUGGGUAUCCAGGAAUGUACUCGAGUCAGGACUAUCAGCCAGGACAGCCAUGCGCUCCUCAUCCUCAUUUCCCUCCCCACCCGUUCAUGUACAUGCCCCCCGCACCUCAUCCUCCACCUAUGACUCCAUUCCCCCAGUGGCCCUCGCCUUAUUCAUACAACCCCUUCUCAGGAUUCCCUGGAAUGGGCUAUGGUAUGGUCAUGCCCCCAUUCCCCCCAAACCCUUACCUGGAAGCUCCACUCUACAUGCUUCCUCAACCUCACUUCCAACAGCUCAACUACCGGCGCUUGAUCCAUUCGCAGUUCCCUGGCGGCAAUGCACCCUACCAGAGCCAGAACCGCAGAUUGGUGUCCCAACCGAAUUCUGGUGUGAGGGAGACUGUAAGCUCUGAGGUCCAGACGGAACCGACCGCUGACGCAAGUCCCCGCGCUUGCUCAGAGUCUGGAAAUGGGACCCGCGGCAGUACUACCCCUUCAGACUUUAUCAGUGGGAAGCAAAGUCAAGUUUUGGUGGAGCACUGUACCGCGGCUGUUGCCGACGCCAAAGGUCACCACAACUUUGCGAAGAAGGACUUGGGUAGGGGCACCGCCAAACGUGGCCAAGCGUCACCUUUAUCGGCACAAAUUGGGAAAAGAAGCUGUGGUGGUCAGGAAAAGUCGUCUUGUAGGCUUGGAAGUGACGGUGAAACGUGGUCGAUGUGCGCUGCCAAUGCUAUGAUUCCUGUAUGCAGCUCUUCAGACCGAGAGGACGAAGUCACCACCAAGGAACGCCGCGUCUCUUUUCCUGAUGUAUUAAUGACCUUGGUGGGUGGGACACCACCAGUGGUGACUCCUGAAUCCCCAGACGCACCAUCGCCCAAGAGAGGGGAUCAGUUGGCUGGUCAGGAGGUUGCGCUUGCUAAGGAAAUAAGAUGCGACAGCCUGACGACGAAGAGCAAAAACUUGGAGGAUGAUAUUGUUUUAAGCCAUAAGGAAAGGGAGGACCUUGCAAAGAUAAUUGGAUCACCUUUCUACUUCAGGGAGGAUCACGCUACGACUCUCAAUACAUUGAAUGAUUCAGCAGUGCUGGUUGACUCUAUUGUGGCUGACAUCCACUCCAGAAAUGGCAUGUCACAGAAUACACCCAUAGAAUCAGCAGACCAAUCCCAGAAAGUUCCUGACAAUGAACUGGUGCUGGAUGAAUAUGAAGAGUCUGCUCUACAUGAAGAUGCAAUGCAGGAUCCAUUCUCGGGUCAUUUCCAGUUCAAAAGAAAAAUGGAUGAAUCAGUUUGGUCCGUGGAAUCUUUGGCUGCCUACGUUCCUUCUCCGGGCUGGAUGAUGCAGAAUGGACUGUUAGACCCUGAGGUGAUUAUUGAAGAGAUUUUGGAGGAUGUUCAAAAGCGUGCACCAUCUACACAGAGUUGUAAUCCAACCGUUCAUCCAAGAGAUAGAAGACUAAGUCGCAGGUUUUCAUUGUCUGCUAAUGCUUUCCCAGUGUAUAUUCCCCCAGCCACUUGGUCAGCUGAACACCAACAUUUGAUUCACUCCAAUGCAUAUCCCCCGACAACCCAACGGGAUGAGGACACCAGUGUUCCUGCUGAAACACUUGACCCCCAGACGUGUGGAACGGGAGUCCCAACUCCCUCUUCUAAAGAGGCGCAGCUUCAAAGAGAUCAAGGUAUUGAUCCUUCAAAUGCACAUGCUUCGCUUCUUGACGAGACCUCCCUAGCGGUUGACGAGGGCGGGGACAUGGAUGAGUCUUCUGAGGCUGUUCGAAGCCCGACCCAGAAACCCUGUAGGGUAACUGAAAGGGCAGAGAAUAGUCCUUGCUCUUCCAAACAAGUAGAAGCCCCCCUCUCCAAUACCCGCACUGAAAACGAAAGUCCUUCCAGUCGCCAAAUCAGAGAACAGGAGCUAAAUGGGAGAGUGGAAACGAAUUCCGCUAAAAAUGAGCAACUAGCCGUCGAAAUCCCAAAAAACGCAGUUUCACCAGCGAAGUCGGACUGUGGUAGCCAGUGCUCGUUACUGCAACAUUUGACUUGUAUAUGCAACUGUCAUCAAGAGGCUGAAACCAUCCAGGCCUCAUCUGAGACUGCAGAAAGAAAAUGGAAACAAACGAAAAAGAACAGACCCAACUGUCGACGUAAUCGUCAGAAGAAGUACCAGAAGGAGACUUGGAUGGGAGAUGGCAUGCCUUGAAAAUAGACUGGUGGAAAUGGAAGAUAACGAAGAUUCCGAGCAAAUUACAUUUCUUUCCUUUUUUUAAACAUUCAAUAAUUAAUAAAUAUACUUUUUUAACUGUAUCAUGCAUUUGUGAUUUUAUUAAUGCAUUCCUUUAUUUGAUAAUGCAUCACUCUUUGUAAAUAUAGACUAAUCAUUAAGUCAUUCCUAAAUAAACAAUAAUGCAGACAUGUGAAAUGCAAGGG